UGAAGAGACUCCCCUUCCUAUGAUAAGAGAGACCUGGAGGUUCCUCCCCAGCUGUGGGCUAAGAAGCAGAGCUCUGGGUCAUCUCCACCAUGGCCUGGACCCCUCCCCUGCUCAUCCUCCUCACUCUCUGCACAGGUUCCGUGGUUUCCUCUGAGCUGACUCAGGACCCUGCAGUGUCUGUGGCCUUGGGACAGACAGUCAGGAUCACCUGCCAAGGAGACAGCCUCAGCAGCUAUUCUGCAAGCUGGUACCAGCAGAAGCAAGGCCAGGUCCCUGUGCUGGUCAUCUAUGGUAACAGCAACCGGCCCUCAGGGAUCCCAGACCGAUUCUCUGGCUCCAAGUCAGGAAACACAGCUUCCUUGACCAUCACUGGGGCUCAGGUGGAAGAUGAGGCUGACUAUUACUGUGGCUCCUGGGACAGCAGUGGUAACUAUCCCACAGUGACACAGACAGAUGGGGAA
Molecule: non-coding RNA, 461 nt
Organism: Piliocolobus tephrosceles (Ugandan red Colobus)
Lineage: Eukaryota; Metazoa; Chordata; Mammalia; Primates; Cercopithecidae
Source: the annotation of a RefSeq genome assembly